UUUCGAACAGCACCAUUCGAAAAAUGCCAUCGAUAUUUUUGUUGAAUUUUUAAUCUAGUCAGUGGAGUAAGAAAGUUGUUUUUGGAUUUUCUGUGUAGUUUUUAAUUGAGCGAAACCGAUAAAAAAAAAAACGUAGAUAAAUGAGGAAAGUUUAUGGAAAAAACAGAUUUAUUAUAUUCAACUUUGGUUUUUUUUUUGUGUUGUAUUGUGUUAUUCAUAGAGAAUAGAAAGUGCACA
Molecule: non-coding RNA, 237 nt
Organism: Cinara cedri
Lineage: Eukaryota; Metazoa; Arthropoda; Insecta; Hemiptera; Aphididae
Source: the annotation of a GenBank genome assembly